AUUCCAUAUGGUCAUCACGUUACUCUUGUCUAUAUGUUUCAGCUUCAACUUCUAUCCAACGGUUUCAGAUUGCUCAAAGUAGGUGGAUCUCUUGUGUACAGCACUUGCAGUUUAACUGUUCCCAGAAUGAAGGUGUGGUCGAGAAAUUCCUUUCUCAAAACAAAUCUGCUGGCUUGCUGGAGAUAGAUUGUGCAAGAACGUGGCCUUAUAAGAGCGGGCAGAUACCUAAAACUUUGCGCUUUGAUCCUAAUACAUCAUGU
Non-coding RNA from Coffea arabica (coffee), 260 nucleotides. The record is from RefSeq and is a predicted model, not a curated record. NCBI's taxonomy places the organism in Eukaryota, Viridiplantae, Streptophyta, Magnoliopsida, Gentianales, Rubiaceae.